RNAcentral lists this ribosomal RNA (450 nucleotides) under uncultured bacterium. Its description in RNAcentral is "partial 16S ribosomal RNA". It matches the Rfam family "Bacterial small subunit ribosomal RNA", at positions 354 to 796 of the family's 1533-position model. The record is from RNAcentral.
GUGGGGAAUUUUGGACAAUGGGCGCAAGCCUGAUCCAGCAAUGCCGCGUGCAGGAAGAAGGCCUUCGGGUUGUAAACUGCUUUUGUACGGAACGAAACGGUCCUGGCUAAUAUCCGGGGCUAAUGACGGUACCGUAAGAAUAAGCACCGGCUAACUACGUGCCAGCAGCCGCGGUAAUACGUAGGGUGCGAGCGUUAAUCGGAAUUACUGGGCGUAAAGCGUGCGCAGGCGGUGCUGUAAGACAGGCGUGAAAUCCCCGGGCUCAACCUGGGAAUUGCGAUUGUGACUGCAGUGCUGGAGUGCGGCAGAGGGGGAUGGAAUUCCGCGUGUAGCAGUGAAAUGCGUAGAUAUGCGGAGGAACACCGAUGGCGAAGGCAAUCCCCUGGGCCUGCACUGACGCUCAUGCACGAAAGCGUGGGGAGCAAACAGGAUUAGAAACCCCGGUAGUCC